Phragmites australis (common reed) is the source of this 1603-nucleotide long non-coding RNA. RefSeq lists it as uncharacterized. The record is from RefSeq and is a predicted model, not a curated record. NCBI's taxonomy places the organism in Eukaryota, Viridiplantae, Streptophyta, Magnoliopsida, Poales, Poaceae. The transcript is spliced from 7 exons.
GCGCAGGAGGAGGCGCAGGAGGACGCGCUGGAGGAGGCGACAGCAGGGGGUUCCGCUUCCUCUAGUUCGUCGAGCGUCUACUUGCGAGGUCCCGCGAGCCUCCCUCAGCGACCGAUACCUCGUGAGAGACGCCCGCUGAUUCGACCCGAGGGGGAAAAGAACUGGACGAUUGUGGCGAGUGGAGGUGCUCACACACGCCAAGUCAAUGGCAUCCUCGGUCUUCUGUGCAAGGAGCACUUCCCUGGCCUGGUUGAGUACGCCGGAGUGACGGGGCCGGCCUACUCGUUUGACCACUACGCCGCCGCCCCCGAUGCUGCAGAUCGGGCCCGCAGGGUAUUCAACAACAAGGCGGAGCGGGUGAAGCAAGAGCUGUGGGAUUUCUUUAGAUGCCAGGACGGACAUGAGGCCAGGGCGGAUGCGGUGGCUACCAAAUGCUGCAAAAAACUCAUCGUGGACAUGCAUUACGAGGGGCGCAUCCAGGCCGUCGUAACUUACCACGGGACCGUCGUUGGAACGAAGGUCACCAAAAGGGACGCAAGAACCAUGACGCUGACCCGGGACCAGUACCUGUAGAUGAUUCCUUAUUGGUGCGCCGCGCAUCCCCAGUGCUGGGAACAGAUGGUGGACAAGUGGUGCUCACGCGAGUGGGAGGAGACGCACAACUUGUGCCGGGAGCGGCGUUUGAUGAUGCCAGGUGUAGCACACCAUCAAGGCAGCCGCAACCUCAGCGGAUACGCACAAACAUGGUCGGCGUCACAUGGUGGCCAGCCUUGCUCCAUCUUCAAGGCAUUUGCUAUGGCCCACAAGGGCAAGGCGACGUCCGACGUCGACUACAACCCGGAGGACGGGCCCGAGGCGUACAGCAAUGCGACCGUCCACAACCGCCUUAGUGAGUACACAUCGAUGGCAAGGGAGGUCCAUGGGCCAGAGUACGAUCCAAGCACCGAGGACCUUGAUGGAGAAGUCGUCAUGAGGGUGGGAGGAGGCAAGAAGCAUGGGCGAUACUAGAUUGGCGACGGCGCAAUCGACUCGGCCGCUACUCCCAGUCUCUCCCAGAUUCGAGCAAGCAGCACGAGCACGAGCCCGGCCAUACGACCUCGGAAGGACACUUCACACCACCAGGUGGAGGCACUCGAGGCCCAGCUGGAACAAGAGAGGAGGAUACGGGAGCAAAUGCAGGCGACGAUGGAGGCCGAGCAGCGGAGGAUGGUGGAGAUUCUUCAGUACAUGCAAAGUAUUGGCGCCGCUACGGGUGUGGCUCCGCCACCUUCGCUAUUCGCUCCACCUCCACCUCCACCUCCUCACUAUUCUACUCCUAAUCAAUCGGCGGCAUCGAAUGAUCCUCAUGCUUCAGCGAAUCAUUCACCAAAUCAGUUUCAUUGACCAUCUUGGUGAUGAUACUUGUGGUUGUUAAUGGUACUUCUAUUUGCAAUUAUGGUUGUAGAUGAUGGAGCACUUGGAUUACUUGUGAACUUAUUUGUGAUAUAUUGUGAGACAUGUGAUGUUUGUGAUAUAUAUGUGGUGUUGGUGAUAUAUAUGUGCUGUUGAUGAUAUAUAUGUGAUGUUGGUGAUGUUUGUUAUAUAUAUAUAUAUCUGUUUGUUU